AUGGUGUUUAACUUAAUUUCAGCCCCUCCCCUCCUGGGCUGCUCGCUGGGCAGGAACCCUGCAGGGGGCGGGCCCCUGUGCCCAGCCUUGCCCUUCACUACUUCUGCAGCCUCCAGCCCUCGAGGGCCCUUUCGUCCCAGUCCCCAGUUCCCAGAAGCCCCCGAACUGCUUGCCUUGAGCUUCUUGCUCGGGCACAGCCGGCGCCCAGUUCAGAGCAGCACACGCCCACCACAAGGUCCAUUCCCGCACUCCAGCAGGGCUGGGAGCGUGGUGGGCAGCCAGGUCUGCCACACGUGUGAGCUGUGGGCACCCCUGGACUGGGACCUGGCCCCCUGGGGCACAAGUGCCUGGCCACACCCCCCCUUCAAGGGUGAGCGCCCUGGCCUGCACUCCGAGGGCGGGGCCCUGCAGCCAAGGAAGGAGGCUUUUGUGCUGAGGCCCCCCAGGCUCCUGCAGGCUCCCCGUGGAGCCAGGCAGGGAGCCCACAGACCAGUGGAGGGGGCCAGUGUGGCCGCCUCCCUCCUGCUGGCUUCCUCGCCUGUGUUACAUGGCCCCUGGCCGCUGAGUUCCCUCGGAGCUUGGAUGCCAUGGGCUAUUGGGCCACCCCACCUCACCGGCCACAUUGCCCCGGCUCCUCCCCCACAGCCCUGGGCCCAAACUUUCCAACCUUUUUGUUUGUUUAGUUUUAAUUUCAUCUGCUUGAAAGGCAGAGUGACAGAGGAUCUCCUUCCACCUAUGGCUCACGCCCCAGAUGCCUGCAAUGGCCAGGGCUGGGCCAGGCCAAAGCCAAGAGCCAGGAGCUCCAUCCAGGUCUCCAUGGGGGCAGCAGGGGCCCAAGCGCUCGAGCCAUCUGUGCCUUCCCCGGGUGUGCAUCCGCAGGAAAUCGCGCUGGAAGUGGUGCAUCUGGGACUCCAGCGCGCUCUGGUGCGGGGUGUGGGCCUCGCAGGCAGCCCCUUCCUUCAGCACCCAGGAGUUUGGCAAGGCCCCUGGGCUGCCCCACACCUCUGCCAGGCCUCUCACUGUCUCCUGCCAGUGCUGGCCGUGUGUCCAACUGCUGGAGGUGACUUUGUAAAGCUCGGGCAUGGCCCGGCCAGCCCCUGCCCUGACCCCACCAUGGCCCCGGGGUCGUCAUGA
RNAcentral lists this long non-coding RNA (1134 nucleotides) under Oryctolagus cuniculus (rabbit). RNAcentral describes it as "lncRNA (ENSOCUG00000033188.1)". The record is from RNAcentral. Lineage: Eukaryota; Metazoa; Chordata; Mammalia; Lagomorpha; Leporidae.